Molecule: long non-coding RNA, 254 nt
Filed under: Setaria italica (foxtail millet)
Lineage: Eukaryota; Viridiplantae; Streptophyta; Magnoliopsida; Poales; Poaceae
Description: long non-coding RNA (SITA_LNC001370)
Source: RNAcentral
GGUGAAGUAAUUAAAUGGAGCAGUGUGUUACUAGCACCGUUUCGGCCUGGCAUGCACUUGAUGGUUUUGGACGUGAGGUGGUGUAGCCGUGUAGGGGGGCUUUGACGCUUUUGUGGUUGUGGUACAGUGCAGCACAGGCACAGCGAUGCCCAUGGCGUGCCUGGUGACGCAGUAAAUACAGAUACCGGUAGAAGCGUUGCCGAUUGCAGCGUGGUACGCAGAGGUGGGGGUCAAAAGAACAGGACAGCGCGAGC